AUACGGAGGGUGCAAGCGUUACUCGGAAUCACUGGGCGUAAAGCGCGCGCAGGCGGCUAUUUAAGUUGGAUGUGAAAGCCUAUGGCUCAACCGUAGAACUGCAUCCAAAACUAUUUAGCUAGAGUGUGGGAGAGGAAGAUGGAAUUAGUUGUGUAGGGGUAAAAUCCGUAGAGAUAACUAGGAAUACCAAAAGCGAAGGCAAUCUUCUGGAACACUACUGACGCUGAGGCGCGAAAGCGUGGGGAGCAAACAGGAUUAGAAACCCCAGUAGUCC
Molecule: ribosomal RNA, 274 nt
Filed under: uncultured bacterium
Lineage: Bacteria
Description: partial 16S ribosomal RNA
Rfam family: Bacterial small subunit ribosomal RNA
Source: RNAcentral